CUUCCCUACGGGGGGCAGCAGUGAGGAAUAUUAGUCAAUGGGCGAGAGCCUGAACCAGCCAAGUCGCGUGAAGGAUGACGGCUCUAUGGGUUGUAAACUUCUUUUGUCAGGGAGCAAUUGAGUCCACGUGUGGGCUUCGCGAGAGUACCUGAAGAAAAAGCAUCGGCUAACUCCGUGCCAGCAGCCGCGGUAAUACGGAGGAUGCGAGCGUUAUCCGGAUUUAUUGGGUUUAAAGGGUGCGUAGGCGGAAUAUCAAGUCAGCGGUAAUAAUUCGGGGCUCAACCCAGUCGUGCCGUUGAAACUGA
This 305-nucleotide ribosomal RNA is filed under the name uncultured bacterium. Its description in RNAcentral is "bacterial SSU rRNA". It matches the Rfam family "Bacterial small subunit ribosomal RNA", at positions 334 to 636 of the family's 1533-position model. The record is from RNAcentral.